UUGAACAUUUGCUAAUGUGCAGGAUUGGACUAUGGUCGUUUCCACGAUAAACGUGCCGGAUUGGACCUCGAUUUUGGUUCAGGAUUGGACCCUCUUUUUAUCUUUAUUUUCAAAAUCCUUUAUAUUUUCGAAUCUCGACUUCACUUUAUCAUGUUUUAGUUUGAUUAAUGUAGCUUAUUAGAUUCUCAGACAUUUCCAUGACCAUGGUGUAUUUUGAAUUUUUUUUACUGUUAUCAAAUUACAUCGUCGUUCAAGUUCCCAACGACGACAAUUGCUACUGUAAAAAUAUCCAUUCGCUAUCUCCUUGAAAUUGAACCAAUAUAACAGAUAUAUACAUGAAUCAUCAAUCUUUGCUUACGACAGAUGUAACGUUGACUGUUCGUAUCCAGGAUAUAUAAGGCCAUUUUGACCUAUAAAACACGUAUCAAGCCCUAGAACUUCAUUCCAUGAGAUGGGUACACUUCGAAUGUGAGAAAUUUGUGGUGUGGAAUUCAAGACCAAUUCUGAACUGCGUAGGCAUGUGAAAAGGAAACAUCAAUCAGAGAAAUUGUCCCCGUUUGUGACCAGUGCAACAUACGCUUUUGCACAUUAUAAAAGAAACAUGAAGUAAAAAAAAAAAAUACAUUGUUUUCUGAAUACACGAGGUGCAUACAUAUACCAUGGCAGCCGUUUUAUAUAUCCGUUUAUGUACAUUAUGAAACGAUUAUUUUUACGGUAUUAUGCUUUGUUUUACAGAGAUACUACUAAUCUUUUACAUUGCAUUUUACACAUGUUGAUUUGUCAUUUCAUUGAACCAGAAGUGUUCUAAGUUUUAUUUGUUAUUAAAUAUAUUUCAAUGUUA
Molecule: long non-coding RNA, 841 nt
Organism: Ostrea edulis (European flat oyster)
Lineage: Eukaryota; Metazoa; Mollusca; Bivalvia; Ostreida; Ostreidae
Exons: 2
Source: RefSeq, a predicted model, not a curated record